This 3445-nucleotide long non-coding RNA is filed under the name Equus asinus (donkey). RNAcentral's name for it is "lncRNA (ENSEASG00005034780.1)". The record is from RNAcentral. Lineage: Eukaryota; Metazoa; Chordata; Mammalia; Perissodactyla; Equidae.
AGUGGAAAAAUAGGAACAUGCCUGUUCCAUGUGGACCCAGCUCUGGAAGGUAGUAAUAUUAUUUUAGAAAUUCUAUAAAUCCAAAUUUUAAUGUGAAAUCUCCCAGUGUUCAAACAAUGGCUUUUGUUUUGUUUUCACAAUGUGUGUCCCAAAACCCAACCUAUCUCCUGGCUGGAUUGCCUCUGUGGCUUCCAGCUGGAGACCUUGGCACAGAUGUUUAAGAGAUCCAGGGGCUCAGACCUUAGUUGAGAAGAAAGUUCCAACAGCUCAGGAGCAAUGAGCAGGUUAUUUUAUCAAGUCGUGUAUCUUGCAGCACAUGAGCUGCAUUGCGAGGCCAGAGGAGGGAGCAAUCCAAAGUGGAUAGAAUGGUUUCUAUGCAUUCUCCAAGAAUGUGGCUAGUGUGCUAGGCAUUAAAUGAUGGAUAGAAUCUGAGCAAGUAGCAGCAAAGGGAAUUGCAAGACCUGGAAACCCAUAAUCAGGGAAGACAAACGUUUAGAAGAACAAAGAAGCAUUCGGGGGAGAUCUGGUCCCCUGGGAACAAGUCAUAUAUAAGGGACUCUAAAAGGUCAGCAAGUAAUUUGAAAUCUGUGCUCCUUCUGUUGUCUACAGUUCCUUCUUUCUGCCAACCGCUGACCUCCACGAUCGGGUUUGGGUUUAAAUUCUGUCUCCGAGUUGUUUCCUAAAUUGUUGAUGGCGAUUCAGAAAUUUACCACCAGGUGGCGAUAUUCUCAUUUGGGAAAAAUGGAAAAGCGAGUGAAAGAGGGAGCAACGUUUUUGUUGAAUGAUGUCUGCUGGGUUCUCUGAUCCCUGCUUAAGCCUGGGUUUACAGCUAAUAAAGAAAAAAUAGCUUACACACUUUUCCUUUUUUAUUUAUCUUAUGUCACUUUCCAUAGAUCCUGCCACGCCAAGCCCAUAAUAUUUAUUUCCGCGGCAACUGCUAUGCAAACUGUAUUAUUCUAUUAUUCCGUAUUAUUCUAGGCAUCAUCUCAGAAACAGAGCUGCAGAAGACAAAGAGCAGGGCAGAAGCACGUAUGAACGAGGAGUUGGAGAACUGUCUCGAGGGUGAGGGGAGAAAAAAACCAGCUGUGCCUUCUAUUCCAGCUUUCCAAGACAAUUGAAUUUAGACAGAAGAUCUGCUGCCCGAAGACCUGUUUUAAGAAAUAGCAUAUGAAACUGUUUUUAAAAGAUCUUUCUUCAGCUUGUCUAUCUGGAGGGGCAGCACCCAACCAGAGGCGAAUGGCCGCUUCUGAAUGACAGUCAGCAAGGGACAAAUUCCAGAGCCUGGAGGAUUGGGGAAGGUGGGAGGUGAGGCAGGGGGCAACCAACAGGCUGGAUUUAAAAUUUCCAUUUAUUUCUCUGACUGCAUAGAUGGUGCCCCCUUGUAGAUUUCCUCAACCUCCAAAUGACAGUGUUGAAUCACACAGGACAGUUCAUUGGGAGGAGUUCAUUGUCAGCUCUCGCUGCAAGAAACAGUGACAGUGGUCCCUGUGGUGAGGAGGACGAUGGGAGCCGGUUCAGGAGCCGGUGGGGGCGGAGAUACGGGAAGUGCCUGUCUGAGGCCAGCGCACACGAGUGUUAGCAAUUUCUCCUUUGAGCUCAAGAAGGCAAGUUAACACGAUUUAGUCUUCAUUCCUUUUAGUCUUUAUUCCCUUCAGACUCUCCUCGCUCCUCUUCUGCUCUAAGUGCUGGGGUUACUGAGAUCUCAGUGCCGGUUCUUUCUUCCCUCCCUUCGUCCAACUCUGUUUCUCAUACUUGUACAUCCAGAAUCGGCGUCUCUUCCUCUAAUAGAAACAAACACUUCCUUCCUCUUUUUUCUUGGUGCAUUUCCUUCCUUGCCCAUUGGCCCCUUCCUCACUGGCCGCCAUCUCGCCAUCUCUCCAUCUCUCCUCCUCCUCCAAUUCAUGGAAAGGGGCUGCUGUGCAUUUGUUUCCUGUGAACCUGCUGCAUCUGCCGCUAUGAAAAAUGGGAUGUGGCGUUCAGCGGUGGUUUGGUUCGUCGGUGGGCAGCUGCAGCAUCUGAAUUUCCUGCUGCCUUCUUUGAGAGCGAACUUGUUUGUAACACAAUCAGAUUUGCCGGUUAUAGCUUCCCGGGCCCUAUCAACUGAGAAUUUCAUUGCUUUUAAAUUGCAAGGCUUUUGUUAUCACUACAACUGUGAACCAGACAGCCGGAAUCAAAGCAAAAAGAAAUGCCACCAGAUGAGGAGGAUUGAGUCAUAGCUUUGGUCUAGCCUGAGUUAGAGAGAAUGCAAGUUCCAGAAGCUUAUUUGCAACCUCAGUUCCUUAUCCAUGAUGUCGUGUUACUUUUUGUUUGCAACUUUCAGAUUAUUAUCCUUGAUGGAGGUUUAAUUGUGGCCUCUUUGCAUUUUUGCUGCAGAGGUGUCUGAAAUUGUUAUUAUAUAUUUUUUACCCUCACUCAAAGAAAAGGAGUAAACACUGUUUUCAUAAAAAGAAGAUACAAGAAUAUAAGCAUUGUGUAGAUGACUUCGGAGUCUGUCUGCAUCUGGCUAAUAGGAUAACAAAAACAGUUAUCAGAGAGAAGAGCCAAAGAAUAAAAUGUCAUUUUGCAGAACCUGGGCUGCAUUUCUGUUUGUAGUUUUAGCUUGGUAUGCAUUUAAACACAAUGGAGCCAUCAGGAGAGAAUAAACUUCGUGGUAAGAAAGUUUCCGUUGCUAUUUGUCAGCUGUCACGGGAUGUGACGGUGCGGUAGCUGGAGCUGAGCUUGUCACUUAAACUUCUGCUACUAGGGUGCCAUAAAUUGGAGGCAGGGACAGAAAGCAAUGAAAUCUAAAUGAAUCCUCAAGAUUCAGGAAAGACUUUUUAGGACCAGAGGGUCCAGGAAGAUGUUGCAGCAUGCUACAAUAGGAUAACUGCUGGCAAAAUGGUUUCUUUUUCUAGCUUCAGCUUCCAGCGUCGGCUAUUGUGUUCCCAAGUAAGCUGCCUGGGGUCCGCCUGCCGAGUUAUGUGUGAGUCUCUGCACAUAUUUUAAUGCUCAGCUGGCAGUUUUUAUGUGGCGUUAGUGUGCUUUGUGUCUAAUAAAAUGUUAAUUUCCCAUGAUUUCAUUUGCACAAAUCUAUCUCCAACUUAUCUGUAUUGAUACCUGAUUUAGGGCUGCUCAAAUAAAAGAUAAAAAGGUAGAGUCCAUCGAAGCAGUUCUAAUAAACGAGACAAAUUCAGGAACGUCUGUCGUCUCCCCUCGCAUUCCUUCGCACUUUUACCAGAAACCCAGUUGAAGAGAAAAAAGAAAUGGAGCUUGGAGGGGCAGGACAGCUCUUUUUAACCGAGCACCGACUAUGACAGUAAGGUAGGGGAAUGAACUUCUGUCUCACGCCUACCUUGUAAUAUUUCCUCUUCACCACUAUCCUGUGAAGGGAGAAGAUCUCCCCCGUUUAACAGAGGGAAAAAUGGAGAUGAGAGAAACUACGGAGCUUGUAUAGCUAAAACACACA